UGGCGCACGGGUGAGUAACGCGUGAGAAUCUGGCUCCAGGUCGGGGAUAACAGUUGGAAACGACUGCUAAUACCGGAUGUGCCGAGAGGUGAAAGAUUUAUUGCCUGGAGAUGAGCUCGCGUCUGAUUAGCUAGUUGGUGGUGUAAGGGACCACCAAGGCGUCGAUCAGUAGCUGGUCUGAGAGGAUGAUCAGCCACACUGGGACUGAGACACGGCCCAGACUCCUACGGGAGGCAGCAGUGGGGAAUUUUCCGCAAUGGGCGAAAGCCUGACGGAGCAAUACCGCGUGAGGGAGGAAGGCUCUUGGGUCGUAAACCUCUUUUCUCAAGGAAGAAGAAAGUGACGUACUUGAGGAAUAAGCAUCGGCUAACUCCGUGCCAGCAGCCGCGGUAAUACGGAGGAUGCAAGCGUUAUCCGGAAUGAUUGGGCGUAAAGGGUCUGCAGGUGGAACUGAAAGUCUGCUGUUAAAGAGUUUGGCUUAACCAAAUAAAAGCGGUGGAAACUACAGAACUAGAGUGCGGUAGGGGCAAAAGGAAUUCCUGGUGUAGCGGUGAAAUGCGUAGAUAUCAGGAAGAACACCGGUGGCGAAAGCGUUUUGCUAGACCGUAACUGACACUGAGGGACGAAAGCUAGGGGAGCGAAUGGGAUUAGAUACCCCAGUAGUCCUAGCCGUAAACGAUGGAUACUAGGCGUGGCUUGUAUCGACCCGAGCCGUGCCGGAGCUAACGCGUUAAGUAUCCCGCCUGGGGAGUACGCACGCAAGUGUGAAACUCAAAGGAAUUGACGGGGGCCCGCACAAGCGGUGGAGUAUGUGGUUUAAUUCGAUGCAACGCGAAGAACCUUACCAAGACUUGACAUCCUGCGAAUCCUGGUGAAAGCUAGGAGUGCCUUAGGGAGCGCAGAGACAGGUGGUGCAUGGCUGUCGUCAGCUCGUGUCGUGAGAUGUUGGGUUAAGUCCCGCAACGAGCGCAACCCUCGUUUUUAGUUGCCAGCAUUAAGUUGGGCACUCUAGAGAGACUGCCGGUGACAAACCGGAGGAAGGUGAGGAUGACGUCAAGUCAGCAUGCCCCUUACGUCUUGGGCUACACACGUACUACAAUGCUACGGACAGAGGGCAGCAAGCCAGGGAUGGCAAGCGAAUCCAGAAACCGUAGCUCAGUUCAGAUCGAAGGCUGCAACUCGCCUUCGUGAAGGAGGAAUCGCUAGUAAUUGCAGGUCAGCAUACUGCAGUGAAUUCGUUCCCGGGCCUUGUACACACCGCCCGUCACACCAUGGAAGUUGGUCACGCCCGAAGUCAUUACCCCAACCGAAAGGAGGGGGAUGCCUAAGGUAGGACUGGUGACUGGGGUGAAGUCGUAACAAGGUAGCCGU
This 1371-nucleotide ribosomal RNA is filed under the name Cylindrospermopsis raciborskii. RNAcentral describes it as "bacterial SSU rRNA". It matches the Rfam family "Bacterial small subunit ribosomal RNA". Lineage: Bacteria; Bacillati; Cyanobacteriota; Cyanophyceae; Nostocales; Aphanizomenonaceae. The record is from RNAcentral.